Molecule: small RNA, 264 nt
Filed under: Mus spretus (western wild mouse)
Lineage: Eukaryota; Metazoa; Chordata; Mammalia; Rodentia; Muridae
Description: predicted gene, 55798 (ENSMSPG00010015451.1)
Rfam family: 7SK RNA (bases 1-195)
About the family: 7SK was discovered as an abundant small nuclear RNA in the mid-70s but a possible function has only recently been suggested. Two independent studies have found that 7SK RNA binds the CDK9/cyclin T complex (known as elongation factor P-TEFb).
Source: RNAcentral
GGACUCGUAUGUGAUCUGGCUGAGACAUCUGUAAUCCUGUGGUUGCCUGGUUUCACUCAGAGGAUCUGCAUGGCUAGCUAGGUGGGUGAGCCCUUCCUCCCUCGAUGCUCUGCUCCAUGUACAUCCUUCCUGAAGCUGAACUGUCCACUAAAGAGGAGGGUCUUCCCUGAUAGAAUAAGAUCAUUUUUACAUUUGCAAAGCACGACUUUCUGUUAAUUACAUAGCACCUAUUUUUCUUCUUUUGACUGGAGCUGAGAUGGGAUU